This 470-nucleotide ribosomal RNA is filed under the name uncultured organism. Its description in RNAcentral is "partial 16S ribosomal RNA". It matches the Rfam family "Bacterial small subunit ribosomal RNA", at positions 334 to 796 of the family's 1533-position model. The record is from RNAcentral.
CACUCCUACGGGAGGCAGCAGUGGGGAAUUUUGGACAAUGGGCGAAAGCCUGAUCCAGCAAUGCCGCGUGAGUGAAGAAGGCCUUCGGGUUGUAAAGCUCUUUUGUCAGGGAAGAAACGGUGAAAGCUAAUAUCUUUUGCUAAUGACGGUACCUGAAGAAUAAGCACCGGCUAACUACGUGCCAGCAGCCGCGGUAAUACGUAGGGUGCAAGCGUUAACCGGAAUUACUGGGCGUAAAGCGUGCGCAGGCGGUUUUGUAAGUCUGAUGUGAAAUCCCCGGGCUCAACCUGGGAAUUGCAUUGGAGACUGCAAGGCUAGAAUCUGGCAGAGGGGGGUAGAAUUCCACGUGUAGCAGUGAAAUGCGUAGAUAUGUGGAGGAACACCGAUGGCGAAGGCAGCCCCCUGGGUCAAGAUUGACGCUCAUGCACGAAAGCGUGGGGAGCAAACAGGAUUAGAAACCCGAGUAGUCC